CCUACGGGUGGCAGCAGUGGGGAAUAUUGCACAAUGGGGGAAACCCUGAUGCAGCGACGCCGCGUGAAGGAAGAAGUAUUUCGGUAUGUGAACUUCUAUCAGCAGGGAAGAAAGUGACGGUACCUGACUAAGAAGCCCCGGCUAACUACGUGCCAGCAGCCGCGGUAAUACGUAGGGGGCAAGCGUUAUCCGGCUUUCUUGGGUUUAAAGGGUGCGCAGGCGGUUUGGCAAGUCAGCCGUGAAAACCCGGGGCUCAACCCCGGGCCGCCUGUGGAAAUUGCCGGUCGGGAGUUGAGGAGAGGUAUGCGGAAUGCGCAGUGUAGCGGUGAAAUGCAUAGAUAUCACGCAGAACUCCGAUUGCGAAGGCAGCAUGCCGGCUCCAAACUGACGCUGAGGCACGAAAGCGUGGGUAUCGAACAGGAUUAGAUACCCCUGUAGUC
RNAcentral lists this ribosomal RNA (440 nucleotides) under uncultured bacterium. Its description in RNAcentral is "partial 16S ribosomal RNA". It matches the Rfam family "Bacterial small subunit ribosomal RNA", at positions 338 to 795 of the family's 1533-position model. The record is from RNAcentral.